Molecule: ribosomal RNA, 251 nt
Filed under: uncultured bacterium
Lineage: Bacteria
Description: partial 16S ribosomal RNA
Rfam family: Bacterial small subunit ribosomal RNA
Source: RNAcentral
UACGUAGGCAGCGAGCGUUGUUCGGAGUUACUGGGCGUAAGGGUGCGUAGGCGGUUGUUUAAGUUUGGUGUGAAAUCUCCCGGCUCAACUGGGAGGUGCGCCGAAUACUGAAUGACUAGAGUGCGGGAGAGGAUAGUGGAAUUCCUGGUGUAGCGGUGAAAUGCGUAGAUAUCAGGAGGAACACCGGUGGUGUAGACGGCUAUCUGGACCGUAACUGACGCUGAGACACGAAAGCGUGGGUAGCAAACAGG